GCUGGUGCUGCUGCUGCCCGGGAGCCCGGCCCGCGGCCCGGCGCGCAGGAGGAGGCAGGAGCUGGUGCUGGGGCAGCUCUGCUUGCUCGGCUCGCUCCUGCUGCUGCUCUCCUCGCUCUCCUGCUGGGCUGGCAGCGCCGGGUCCUGGGUUCUCCUGAGCUGCCAUGACCAGUUGUGGGUAUUACCUGAACUGAGCCACUUAUACUCAUUUCACUUGUGAUGAUGACCAAGACGAAACUCAGGUUUCCAGAAGAACUAGGCAUUUAGUCUCUGCCACUUACUCCUUUAAACUCCAUAGUUAGCGAAUGAAUGGUUAUGAUGUCCUGAGUUAUACCAUGGAAACUAAUGACAAGUGGCAUGGGAGAAAAGUACUUCAAGCAAUUGAGGAGAAUGCCACUGAAAUUCCAGAGGAUGACGAGCAUCAGUACAUCAAGAACUGCACUGAACCAGCAAAAGGGAUUUCUUUCCACAUGGAGCGUAAAGUAAGGAAAAUACUGAGUUUAGCACGAGAGGUUACCCAGUUGCCUCUUGAUGUGAGAUUUGGGACAGAUCAAGCAUUGGACAGCACUGGAUCAAGUUCUGAUCUGUUUGAUUCCAUACUCUGCAACAGCCCAGAAGAUCACAUCCAGAAAGGAGCAGUCACCUUGUCUCAUCACAGCUAACCAAUUAAAAUACAUCCGUUUUUUCCCAGAUAUGGUCUUGGUCUUUUAUUAAA
RNAcentral lists this long non-coding RNA (715 nucleotides) under Crocodylus porosus (Australian saltwater crocodile). RNAcentral describes it as "lncRNA (ENSCPRG00005010204.1)". Lineage: Eukaryota; Metazoa; Chordata; Crocodylia; Crocodylidae. The record is from RNAcentral.